GUAUGUGAUUAUUAAAAGGCUGUAAGGUGAUUACGUUUUGUGUUUCCAUAAUAUGUACAUUG
RNAcentral lists this non-coding RNA (62 nucleotides) under Plasmodium falciparum 3D7. The record is from RNAcentral. Lineage: Eukaryota; Apicomplexa; Aconoidasida; Haemosporida; Plasmodiidae.